Molecule: long non-coding RNA, 596 nt
Organism: Hippopotamus amphibius kiboko
Lineage: Eukaryota; Metazoa; Chordata; Mammalia; Artiodactyla; Hippopotamidae
Exons: 4
Source: RefSeq, a predicted model, not a curated record
GUGAAAGGAAAAGACGUCUUACCUUGUGGAGAGCAGGGUAAUACUGCGGGGCCAGCAGGACUCUUAGCAGUAACUGAAUCUAACUCACUCAUUUUACAGGUGAAAGAACGGCUGACGCCCAGGUCCCUCAGUGGUACGACAGAGUCUGGAGCUCAGGUGAAAAAAGAAGAAGGAGAAUUAAAGAAAAAAAUAAAAAAGGCCUGGGAAGGUGAAGCAAGCUGUCCAGGAUGCACUGAUGAGCUGGUGGAGAGACGUAGAGGAGGCCCUGACUUCAAUUCUAAAGUCCUCAGUGACACCGAAAUAAUCUCCAGUGGAAAGUUCUCAGCCAAUAGAAAUUAAUUGAGAAGAAAUUAUCAACAAGCUACACGAAUGAGGAGAAAAAUGAUCUCAUCUUUCAUGGAUGAUUUCUAGGAAUUUACCCCAAGAAAAUAACCCUUAGCCUUCCAUUGCAUCUGUGGAAAGAUGACCAGUUUUAAUGUCUGUCUUACUCUUGAACCAACUGGACUUCAGUCUUGUGUGUUUUGGUCCUGUCUUCUCUAGGAUACUUCUUUAAACACAGAAGUUUGCUUUUAUCAUCACUUUGUGGUUUUUGUUUU